GGGAAGUCGAGUGUUCUGUGAGCAAUAGUCGCAGCCCACUUGCGGCUUCUCGCUGUUGGCCUUCUCCUUCCUGGUUCUGCUGUAGGGUUUUGCAUUAGCUUCCGGACUUUGAAGAGAAACUAAAGCAGUGAAACUACAGGGACUGAGGCUAGAGUUGAGAAAACAGGUCAGAAAGAUAAAAUGAUGGGCCCAAGCUAGAAGUGCAAGUAUCCUGAUGUUCAGGUGUUCUCCGAUGUUACCCAGCCUCAUUUGCAGUUAGGUUGGGCCAUGUGACUUGUUCUCACCAAUGAUCUAUGGGCAGAAGUGGUGUGUGUCUCUUCUGGACCAAGACAAUUAAGAACCAGUGUGCCUUUUCUAUCGCUCCCUUCCCCUCAGUGGAGGCCAGGCAUUCCAGAUGGCAGAGCUACAAGCUUCAGGAGGGCCACCUGACUCACACUGGACUGCGAUGGUAGUGAAAAAAAACCCCAAAAGCCAACUUUAUUGUGACAAGCCAUUGAAAU
This is a non-coding RNA of Leptonychotes weddellii (Weddell seal), 500 nucleotides long. The record is from RefSeq and is a predicted model, not a curated record. NCBI's taxonomy places the organism in Eukaryota, Metazoa, Chordata, Mammalia, Carnivora, Phocidae.